UUGAACUUAUACAAUGUGCUUUAUUGAGCUUUACGCUACACUUACUAACGUCUUUUCCUUGUUAUAAGCUAGAUAAAUGAUGUAGGUAACACAGGGAUAAGCUCCAUAUCCUAUUAUGAAACUUUGAUGGAAAAAAUAAUUAAAAAAGGAAGGGAGAUAAAAAAAAAUAACAAUGCAAUGGAAUAGAAUGAAAUGGAGGGGAAAAAAAAGAGCAUAGAGAGAGUGAUAAGGGGUUAGGAGCAUAAUUGCUAAACAACAAUCUGCAAUUCAACAAAGAAGUAGCAGCUGUAGAAAAGGCUUAGAGGAGGCUAAAGGGAAGGGAGAGAUAUAGAGAAGCAGCACCUUAAGCAUUAUAAAAGAUUUUCGUAAGUUUGCUUUAUGCGGUAAGAAAUGCAUGCCUUUGUUGUUGGUGGUGGACAAGUCCAGCCAAAGGAGGCUAGUGGUGUACGUAACGAGAGGAUCAGCUUGAAUGUUUUACUUUGUAUGACUCAAGCAAGUGGUGUACGUUA
This is a long non-coding RNA of Morus notabilis, 509 nucleotides long. RefSeq lists it as uncharacterized. Lineage: Eukaryota; Viridiplantae; Streptophyta; Magnoliopsida; Rosales; Moraceae. The transcript is spliced from 3 exons. The record is from RefSeq and is a predicted model, not a curated record.